AGCAGUUCUCAGGUGAUGCAUCCCAGAAUUGGGCUCCCUCCUCUCUGGUUCCAGGUGCAUCACCCGAGAAUUGCC
This is a non-coding RNA of Myotis lucifugus (little brown bat), 75 nucleotides long. The record is from Rfam. Lineage: Eukaryota; Metazoa; Chordata; Mammalia; Chiroptera; Vespertilionidae.